RNAcentral lists this ribosomal RNA (681 nucleotides) under uncultured soil bacterium. RNAcentral's name for it is "bacterial SSU rRNA". It matches the Rfam family "Bacterial small subunit ribosomal RNA", at positions 37 to 766 of the family's 1533-position model. The record is from RNAcentral.
UGGCGGCAGGCUUAACACAUGCAAGUCGAGCGCCCCGCAAGGGGAGCGGCAGACGGGUGAGUAACGCGUGGGAACGUACCCUUUUCUACGGAAUAACGCAUGGAAACGUGUGCUAAUACCGUAUGAGCCCUUCGGGGGAAAGAUUUAUCGGGAAAGGAUCGGCCCGCGUUGGAUUAGCUAGUUGGUGGGGUAAAGGCCUACCAAGGCGACGAUCCAUAGCUGGUCUGAGAGGAUGAUCAGCCACAUUGGGACUGAGACACGGCCCAAACUCCUACGGGAGGCAGCAGUGGGGAAUAUUGGACAAUGGGCGCAAGCCUGAUCCAGCCAUGCCGCGUGAGUGAUGAAGGCUCUAGGGUUGUAAAGCUCUUUCACCGGAGAAGAUAAUGACGGUAUCCGGAGAAGAAGCCCCGGCUAACUUCGUGCCAGCAGCCGCGGUAAUACGAAGGGGGCUAGCGUUGUUCGGAAUUACUGGGCGUAAAGCGCACGUAGGCGGAUAUUUAAGUCAGGGGUGAAAUCCCGGGGCUCAACCCCGGAACUGCCUUUGAUACUGGGUAUCUGGAGUAUGGAAGAGGUGAGUGGAAUUCCGAGUGUAGAGGUGAAAUUCGUAGAUAUUCGGAGGAACACCAGUGGCGAAGGCGGCUCACUGGUCCAUUACUGACGCUGAGGUGCGAAAGCGUGGGG